CGAGCGAGCGGAUUGCUUCCUGGGCUCCCCUCCGCUCCCAGGCCGUGUGGUUUAAUAGGGGCGGGCGAGCGCCGUGGCGCCACGUGGCGACGCGGCCGCGGGGAUUGGGUUGCCGCCGGGAGGAUGACACGCAGGGCCCUCCCCACAGGGACUGACUCGCGCCGUGUGGUUCUGUUGCUGGUGGCUGGUGCUCGCGGUGGGCACGCCGCCUCUUCCUUUCCCUUUCCCUCUCCUCUCCUCUCCUCCACGGUCCGGGCUAGAUUUCCAUUCUCUCCGUAUUCCGGUUCUCGCGUGCAGUGUGGUGGACUGGAGCUGGAGGCUCCGGCCCCCGGUUUUGGGGGUUUGUUUCUUCUUUUUUCCUUGU
RNAcentral lists this unclassified non-coding RNA (364 nucleotides) under Zea mays. Its description in RNAcentral is "misc RNA Zm00001eb208340". The record is from RNAcentral. Lineage: Eukaryota; Viridiplantae; Streptophyta; Magnoliopsida; Poales; Poaceae.